RNAcentral lists this long non-coding RNA (340 nucleotides) under Carica papaya (papaya). Its description in RNAcentral is "long non-coding RNA (CPAP_LNC007887)". The record is from RNAcentral. Lineage: Eukaryota; Viridiplantae; Streptophyta; Magnoliopsida; Brassicales; Caricaceae.
UGCAAUGACAAUGAAAAAAAUAGAGGAAGAACAUUCCAAUUGGUGGUGGCACACUACCAAAAACGGUGGCAGCACAAUUCCCAAGGCAGCGCACGGUGCCCAAGUAGCGACGACACACUAUCUGAGGCAGCACCGCGCCUCACCAAGUCAGUCGCGCGUAGCAUGCCUAGCCUACAGGUGCACUGGCCAAUCCUACUGUGUGCAGGGCCUAGAGCACGCAAGGUGCUGUGUGUAGGCCUACUGCGAGAGCCUACUGCACGGAUGAUACGCGCACAUAGCGCCUGACAUCGUGCUAGUCUGUGCACGAUGGGAUGCGCACAGACUGUCCUCGUACUCCGUG